RNAcentral lists this long non-coding RNA (1330 nucleotides) under Oryza sativa (Asian cultivated rice). Its description in RNAcentral is "long non-coding RNA (OSAT_LNC000347)". Lineage: Eukaryota; Viridiplantae; Streptophyta; Magnoliopsida; Poales; Poaceae. The record is from RNAcentral.
GAGGCGUCUGUGCCUGCAGACUGCAGUGUAUCCCCCUGCAGGCCGGCCGGUUGAUUACUUGAUUGCAUCGUUCCCCUCCAAUUAGCAGAAUAUCAUGGAAGGGAUCCCUAACCUCGGCCGGGUAAGAUAUAAGAUCUCUCUUCUUCUUCCGUCGUUCGGUUCAGUAGCUGCUUAGCUAUGCUACAAAAGGCCAGGAAUUUUACUUCCAUUAUUAUCUGAAGAAAAAAAAAGAAACAGAACUAUACUAUACUACCGGUCUGAUCACAAGUGGUUUGCAGCACUCGCAGAUUCUGCCCAUAACAAAUCCCCGGAAACAAAAGAAUAAGGUCAGGUUUUACUCUUCCAGGCCUCUGAAUUUCUCAUCUUAUUCCCUUCUCUUUUCUCGUUUCUUUCUGCAUCAUUGUAUAAAUUUUUUUUUUUUUCACACGAUUCCCGCAAAUCUUGAGCUCGCAGGAGAAAAACACAGAUCAAGAUAGGAGCAACAGCAACAGCCCUUGGCCUCUGAUAGCGAUCGGCUUGCUACUUUCGUUGCUGCUGUUUUUGCUGGUGUACAAGACAUUGCUGGAUGCGCCGCUGGUGGUCCAGUUCGCCGCUGUCAAACAGAAGGCACGCCGUCUCCUCUAGCAAAAGCUCUACAUACGCCUCGUAAUAAUUAUUGAUCUCGUCUCAAGUCUCAACUCGAUCGUUCAGAUACCAUGCAUACCAGUUCGUCGUCAUAGAUUCGGUUUGUGCCUAUACAUCUGCUUAAUUCUAGUUUUGGUUGUUGGUGAUCCUGUGAUCUUUCCAUUAAUUCAGUGUGGAGUAUUGUAUCAUCUUAAUUAUGUCAGAAAUAGAUUCUGGUGUUGAUUGCUUGUACUGUUGACGCAUGCACAGCAGAUCUCUCAAGGUGAAAUGAUUUCUAAGACAAUUUCACCCUCCAGUUCUCUGUAUAUGCAUGAUUCGACCGCCUAGUGUGUUUGAUAAGAGAGUUCUAGCACUGUGUCCAGGAAAAUAAUCACUUCCCUGUAUGUGUGACGAACCUUUAGAUGUGUUUUUUUGGAUUCGCAGUACAGUAUAUACAAUUUUAAUUUAAUGACAUAUAUAUUUUGAGAUGACAUCCGAAUUAUCAGUUUGGAAUAGAGCACAUCCGUAGCAUUUUUAUAGGAGGUUGACUCCUUGAGUAUCACCUGCCACGAACUCUUGAUUGCCAAUAACAGUCCGGUAGCUAUCUUAUCAGCCGGGAUCCUUUGAAUUUGGCCUCCAUUUAAGAUCUUCUUCCAUGGGAUGAUUAUAGGUGGCCUCUGAGUCUCCUGAAGCUGCAGUUGACAUUUGUGCUGCAAAAAGAAACAAG